This 253-nucleotide ribosomal RNA is filed under the name uncultured bacterium. Its description in RNAcentral is "partial 16S ribosomal RNA". It matches the Rfam family "Bacterial small subunit ribosomal RNA", at positions 524 to 776 of the family's 1533-position model. The record is from RNAcentral.
UACGAAGGGGGCUAGCGUUGCUCGGAUUUACUGGGCGUAAAGGGCGCGUAGGCGGCAUGACAAGUCACUUGUGAAAUCUCCGGGCUUAACUCGGAACGGUCAAGUGAUACUGUCGCGCUAGAGUGCGGAAGGGGCAAUCAGAAUUCUUGGUGUAGCGGUGAAAUGCGUAGAUAUCAAGAGGAAUACCUGAGGUGAAGACGGGUUGCUAGGCCGACACUGACGCUGAAGCGCGAAAGCCAGGGGAGCAAACGGG